GCAAGUCGAACGAGGAAAGCACCUUCGGGUGCCGGUACUAGUGGCGCACGGGUGAGUAACGCGUGGAUAAUCUGCCCUCUGHCGGGGAAUAACCAGUCGAAAGACUGGCUAAUACCGCAUAAGACCACAGUCUCUGCGGAGACAGUGGUUAAAGAUUUAUCACCAGAGGAUGAGUCCGCGUCCGAUUAGCUUGAUGGUGGGGUAACGGCCUACCAUAGCUCCGAUCGGUAGCUGGUCUGAGAGGAUGAUCAGCCACACUGGAACUGAGACACGGUCCAGACUCCUACGGGAGGCAGCAGUAGGGAAUCUUGCGCAAUGGGGGAAACCCUGACGCAGCGACGCCGCGUGAGUGAUGAAGGCCUUCGGGUUGUAAAGCUCUGUUCUAUGGGAACAAAAAAAUGAGUGUACCAUAGAAGAAA
Molecule: ribosomal RNA, 419 nt
Filed under: uncultured delta proteobacterium
Lineage: Bacteria; Deltaproteobacteria
Description: bacterial SSU rRNA
Rfam family: Bacterial small subunit ribosomal RNA
Source: RNAcentral